This 890-nucleotide non-coding RNA is filed under the name Cheiraster sp. SS-2022. The record is from RNAcentral. Lineage: Eukaryota; Metazoa; Echinodermata; Asteroidea; Notomyotida; Benthopectinidae.
AACCGAUUUGGUCUUAGUCCUUAACUUGAUCCAUCUUGCGAAGAUACAUGCAAGCCAAAAGCACAACAGUGAAAUUUUAAAACUUCACUUCUUCUAAAAAGAAGAAGUGAACCCCCCCUCGGUAUCAGACAUUUUUAUAAAAAACCCAUAACACCCAGAAAAUAACCCACACAUGCAGUACUUGAUAUUAUACAAUAAGCAAAAACUUGAUAUAGUCCCAAGAAAAGAAAGGCCGGUAAAUUAUGUGCCAGCCACCGCGGUUAUACAUAAAGCCCUAAUCAAGAAAUCAAACGGUAAAAAGGAGGUUAGAGACUAAUAACAAUAGAAUAGUAAACAACUCAAGCAGUAAUAAGCUCAUCAGAAAAUAAAAUAACCAUAAUUCUACUUAACUCGAAAACCACUGAAGCUCAAAAAUAAACCGGGAUUAGAUACCCCAUUAUAUGAGCCCUAAAAACAAACACCUGAGAACUACGAACUAAAGUUUAAAACUCAAAAGACUUGGCGGUUUUUUAGAUCUCCCUGGAGGAGCUUGCUAUCUAACCGAUAACCCACGAAAAACCUCACCAGCUUUUGAAAAAACAACUUGUAUACCAUCGUCGUCAGUCUACCUCUCAAGAACGUAUACUCAACGAAAAAUCCUCCUAACGCCAGAUCGAGGUGCAGUUAAUAAGCUGGGGAUAAGUGAGCUACAAUAUUUCACCAAACUUAAACAUAAUUAUGGAUAAACCCCAUGAAAAAAAGUAUCAAACAGGAUUCAGCAGUAAUACCUAAAAGAAAAUAGGUAUGAACCAAAAAAGCUCUAAAAAGCGCACACAUCGCCCGUCACUCUCGUCCUCAGAGGAGAAAAGUCGUAACACAGUAGGUGUAUUGGAAAAUGUACCUGGAACAUA